CCAUGCCGCGUGUGUGAAGAAGGCCUUCGGGUUGUAAAGCACUUUUGUCCGGAAAGAAAAGCACUGGGUUAAUACCCCGGUGUUCUGACGGUACCGGAAGAAUAAGCACCGGCUAACUUCGUGCCAGCAGCCGCGGUAAUACGAAGGGUGCAAGCGUUACUCGGAAUUACUGGGCGUAAAGCGUGCGUAGGUGGUGAGUUAAGUCUGUCGUGAAAGCCCCGGGCUCAACCUGGGAAUGGCGAUGGAUACUGGCUCGCUAGAGUGCGGUAGAGGAGAGUGGAAUUCCCGGUGUAGCAGUGAAAUGCGUAGAGAUCGGGAGGAACAUCAGUUGCGAAGGCGGCUCUCUGGACCAGCACUGACACUGAGGCACGAAAGCGUGGGGAGCAAACAGGAUUAGAUACCCUGGUAGUCCACGCCCUAAACGAUGCGAACUGGACGUUGGGAGCAACUAGGCUCUCAGUGUCGAAGCUAACGCGUUAAGUAGACCGCCUGGGGAGU
Molecule: ribosomal RNA, 498 nt
Filed under: uncultured bacterium
Lineage: Bacteria
Description: bacterial SSU rRNA
Rfam family: Bacterial small subunit ribosomal RNA
Source: RNAcentral